Molecule: ribosomal RNA, 587 nt
Filed under: Salmonella enterica subsp. enterica serovar Kentucky
Lineage: Bacteria; Pseudomonadati; Pseudomonadota; Gammaproteobacteria; Enterobacterales; Enterobacteriaceae
Description: partial 23S ribosomal RNA
Rfam family: Bacterial large subunit ribosomal RNA
Source: RNAcentral
AUAGGGGAGCCGGAGGGAAACCGAGUCUUAAUUGGGCGUUAAGUUGCAGGGUAUAGACCCGAAACCCGGUGAUCUAGCCAUGGGCAGGUUGAAGGUUGGGUAACACUAACUGGAGGACCGAACCGACUAAUGUUGAAAAAUUAGCGGAUGACCUGUGGCUGGGGGUGAAAGGCCAAUCAAACCGGGAGAUAGCUGGUUCUCCCCGAAAGCUAUUUAGGUAGCGCCUCGUGAAUUCAUCUCCGGGGGUAGAGCACUGUUUCGGCUAGGGGGCCAUCCCGGCUUACCAACCCGAUGCAAACUGCGAAUACCGGAGAAUGUUAUCACGGGAGACACACGGCGGGUGCUAACGUCCGUCGUGAAGAGGGAAACAACCCAGACCGCCAGCUAAGGUCCCAAAGUCAUGGUUAAGUGGGAAACGAUGUGGGAAGGCCCAGACAGCCAGGAUGUUGGCUUAGAAGCAGCCAUCAUUUAAAGAAAGCGUAAUAGCUCACUGGUCGAGUCGGCCUGCGCGGAAGAUGUAACGGGGCUAAACCAUGCACCGAAGCUGCGGCAGCGACGCUUAUGCGUUGUUGGGUAGGGGAGCGUUC